UACAGAGGUCUCAAGCGUUGUUCGGAUUCAUUGGGCGUAAAGGGUGCGUAGGCGGCGCGGUAAGUCGGGUGUGAAAUCUCGGAGCUUAACUCCGAAACUGCAUUCGAUACUGCCGUGCUUGAGGACUGGAGAGGAGACUGGAAUUUACGGUGUAGCGGUGAAAUGCGUAGAUAUCGUAAGGAAGGCCAGUGGCGAAAGCGGGUCUCUGGACAGUUCCUGACGCUGAGGCACGAAGGUCAGGGGAGCAAACGGG
Molecule: ribosomal RNA, 253 nt
Filed under: uncultured bacterium
Lineage: Bacteria
Description: partial 16S ribosomal RNA
Rfam family: Bacterial small subunit ribosomal RNA
Source: RNAcentral